Molecule: ribosomal RNA, 479 nt
Filed under: uncultured bacterium
Lineage: Bacteria
Description: partial 16S ribosomal RNA
Rfam family: Bacterial small subunit ribosomal RNA
Source: RNAcentral
GACGAACGCUGGCGGCGUGCUUAACACAUGCAAGUCGAACGAUGAACCCGGAGCUUGCUCCGGUGGAUUAGUGGCGAACGGGUGAGUAACACGUGAGUAACCUGCCCUUGACUCUGGGAUAACUGCGGGAAACUGUAGCUAAUACCGGAUACGACCCUCGGCGGCAUCGCCAGGGGGUGGAGAGAAUUUCGGUCAAGGAUGGACUCGCGGCCUAUCAGCUAGUUGGUGAGGUAACGGCUCACCAAGGCGACGACGGGUAGCCGGCCUGAGAGGGUGACCGGCCACACUGGGACUGAGACACGGCCCAGACUCCUACGGGGGGCAGCAGUGGGGAAUAUUGCACAAUGGGCGCAAGCCUGAUGCAGCAACGCCGCGUGAGGGAUGACGGCCUUCGGGUUGUAAACCUCUUUUACCCGGGACGAUAAUGACUGUACCGGGAGAAUAAGCCCCGGCUAACUUCGUGCCAGCCGCCGCGGUAA